Cavia aperea (Brazilian guinea pig) is the source of this 137-nucleotide small nucleolar RNA. The record is from Ensembl. NCBI's taxonomy places the organism in Eukaryota, Metazoa, Chordata, Mammalia, Rodentia, Caviidae.
CUGGUUCUGAAUCCAGGCCAGCAGUUUUCUGAAUCUGUUGAUUUCAAGCAGGAGCCUAAAGAGAUAUCUUUGUAUGAUCUGUUGGCUGUUUUUGAACUUUAGAAGUGUAAUGAUCAGUUCUUUAGAAAGAAAUAACU